CAGAAAUUCAAGCCACCAGAAAUUCAAGCUUUCCAACUAACAGGGACCAAAUGGGACCGUUCUAAGAUAUCCUAAAAGAUUUGGGAGUUAGAGGAAGUAAACUAAGAGAAUUAUAUUACAAAGGGUACAAGACCACAAGACAACAACCGACUCCAGAAUUCUUGGACCUCCGCCUUCCGUACAAGGCCCAGCCGCCCCGUCCACUGCCACCACCAACGCCGCCGCCAUCUUACACUGGCCAGCGGCCGCCACCACCACCGCCUCCGCUCUCUGCGCUUGCGCCUGCGCUGCCACGCUUUCCGGCCCCGUUUGCGACGAUGUGCUCGAGAAGACUGAGGGAAGAGUGGUCGCGCGAGCUCACGGCUCGCAACCCUCCUCGAAGGACGCACAAAGGGCGGGGCUUAAGGCCAACGGAAAACAGAGCGAGGGGCGCCUGCGCAUUACCGAAGAGGCAAAGUUGUUUUUGUAGUUUCUUUGGGCUUGCUUAAUCUUGUGAUACUCAAAACAAAUGCAAGUUAGGGGCUUCCCAGAGUUGUGAUAGAAAUAAACUAAAUUUCCAGGGGA
RNAcentral lists this non-coding RNA (564 nucleotides) under Pongo abelii (Sumatran orangutan). The record is from RNAcentral. Lineage: Eukaryota; Metazoa; Chordata; Mammalia; Primates; Hominidae.